GGGUAGGUGCCGGAGCGGCCAAUCGGGUCUGGCUGUAAACCAGAUGCCUUCGGGCUACGGGGGUUCGAAUCCCUCCCUACCCA
This 83-nucleotide transfer RNA is filed under the name Candidatus Nealsonbacteria bacterium CG_4_10_14_0_8_um_filter_37_14. Its description in RNAcentral is "tRNA-Tyr". It matches the Rfam family "tRNA". From Rfam's summary of the family: Transfer RNA (tRNA) molecules are approximately 80 nucleotides in length. Their secondary structure includes four short double-helical elements and three loops (D, anti-codon, and T loops). Lineage: Bacteria; Candidatus Nealsoniibacteriota. The record is from RNAcentral. RNAcentral also lists the same sequence under 2 other names.